AUUGAACGCUGGCGGCAGGCCUAACACAUGCAAGUCGAACGGUAACAGGAAACAGCUUGCUGUUUCGCUGACGAGUGGCGGACGGGUGAGUAAUGUCUGGGAAACUGCCUGAUGGAGGGGGAUAACUACUGGAAACGGUAGCUAAUACCGCAUAACGUCGCAAGACCAAAGAGGGGGACCCUCGGGCCUCUUGCCAUCGGAUGUGCCCAGAUGGGAUUAGCUUGUUGGUGGGGUAACGGCUCACCAAGGCGACGAUCCCUAGCUGGUCUGAGAGGAUGACCAGCCACACUGGAACUGAGACACGGUCCAGACUCCUACGGGAGGCAGCAGUGGGGAAUAUUGCACAAUGGGCGCAAGCCUGAUGCAGCCGUGCCGCGUGUAUGAAGAAGGCCUUCGGGUUGUAAAGUACUUUCAGCGGGGAGGAAGGGAGUAAAGUUAAUACCUUUGCUCAUUGACGUUACCCGCAGAAGAAGCACCGGCUAACUCCGUG
RNAcentral lists this ribosomal RNA (490 nucleotides) under uncultured bacterium. RNAcentral describes it as "partial 16S ribosomal RNA". It matches the Rfam family "Bacterial small subunit ribosomal RNA", at positions 30 to 507 of the family's 1533-position model. The record is from RNAcentral.